AGAGUUUGAUCCUGGCUCAGGAUGAACGCUGGCGACGUGCUUAACACAUGCAAGUCGAACGAAGCACUUUAUUUGAUUUCCUUCGGGACUGAUUAUUUUGUGACUGAGUGGCGAACGGGUGAGUAACGCGUGAGUAACCUGCCCUAGAGUGGGGGACAACAGUUGGAAACGACUGCUAAUACCGCAUAAGCCCACGGUACCGCAUGGUACUGAGGGAAAAGGAUUUAUUCGCUUUAGGAUGGACUCGCGUCCAAUUAGCUAGUUGGUGAGGUAACGGCCCACCAAGGCGACGAUUGGUAGCCGGACUGAGAGGUUGAACGGCCACAUUGGGACUGAGACACGGCCCAGACUCCUACGGGAGGCAGCAGUGGGGAAUAUUGCACAAUGGGCGAAAGCCUGAUGCAGCGACGCCGCGUGAGCGAAGAAGUAUUUCGGUAUGUAAAGCUCUAUCAGCAGGGAAGAUAAUGACGGUACCUGACUAAGAAGCACCGGCUAAAUACGUGCCAGCAGCCGCGGUAAUACGUAUGGUGCAAGCGUUAUCCGGAUUUACUGGGUGUAAAGGGAGCGCAGGCGGUGCGGCAAGUCUGAUGUGAAAGCCCGGGGCUCAACCCCGGUACUGCAUUGGAAACUGUCGUACUAGAGUGUCGGAGGGGUAAGCGGAAUUCCUAGUGUAGCGGUGAAAUGCGUAGAUAUUAGGAGGAACACCAGUGGCGAAGGCGGCUUACUGGACGAUAACUGACGCUGAGGCUCGAAAGCGUGGGUAGCAAACAGGAUUAGAUACCCUGGUAGUCCAUGCCGUAAACGAUGA
This 808-nucleotide ribosomal RNA is filed under the name uncultured bacterium. RNAcentral's name for it is "bacterial SSU rRNA". It matches the Rfam family "Bacterial small subunit ribosomal RNA", at positions 8 to 812 of the family's 1533-position model. The record is from RNAcentral.